RNAcentral lists this ribosomal RNA (253 nucleotides) under uncultured bacterium. RNAcentral describes it as "partial 16S ribosomal RNA". It matches the Rfam family "Bacterial small subunit ribosomal RNA", at positions 524 to 776 of the family's 1533-position model. The record is from RNAcentral.
GACGUAGGGCGCGAGCGUUGUCCGGAUUUAUUGGGCGUAAAGAGCUCGUAGGCGGCUUGUUGCGUCGACCGUGAAAACCCGGGGCUCAACUUCGGGCUUGCGGUCGAUACGGGCGGGCUAGAGUUCGGUAGGGGAGACUGGAAUUCCUGGUGUAGCGGUGAAAUGCGCAGAUAUCAGGAGGAACACCAGUAGCGAAGGCGGCACUCUGGGCCGGUACUGACGCUGAGGAGCGAAAGCGUGGGGAGCGAACAGG